This 479-nucleotide ribosomal RNA is filed under the name uncultured bacterium. Its description in RNAcentral is "partial 16S ribosomal RNA". It matches the Rfam family "Bacterial small subunit ribosomal RNA", at positions 28 to 508 of the family's 1533-position model. The record is from RNAcentral.
GAUUAACGCUGGCGGCGUGCAUAACACAUGCAAGUCGAACGAUGAAACUUUACUGACUUCUUCGGAAUGAUUUAAAGCGGAUUAGUGGCGAACGGGUGAGUAACGCGUGAGUAACCUGCCUUACACAAGGGGAUAGCCUCUGGAAACGGAGAAUAAUACCCUAUGAAACCAGACAAUCGCAUGAUAAUCUGGUCAAAAUGUUUAGUGGUGUAAGAUGGACUUGCGUCUGAUUAGCUAGUUGGUGAGAUAAAAGCUCACCAAGGCAACGAUCAGUAGCCGGCUUGAGAGAGUGUACGGCCACAUUGGGACUGAGACACGGCCCAGACUCCUACGGGAGGCAGCAGUGGGGAAUUUUGCACAAUGGGGGAAACCCUGAUGCAGCGACGCCGCGUGAUUUAGAAGGCCUUCGGGUUGUAAAAAUCUUUUGUAUAGGAAGAAAAUGACAGUACUAUACGAAUAAGGUCCGGCUAAUUACGUGC